CCCUUUGGCCAGUUGGAGUCAGCUGUCCUGGGUCUGUCCCCUCCCAGCUCCUAUUCCACCCCAAGCCUGCCUGCUGGCAGGACAGUGUGAGAAGCUGAAAAGUCCUUGGCUUUGUGUAAGCACUGCUCUGCAACAACCAAAACUUCAGUGUGUUAUCAACAGUAUUCUGUAGUGGUUUUACAUGGUGUUAUAUAUGGAGUGGUAAUUCGUUGAUAUUAAUAAAGAAGGGGGAGAUUUGGGAAUGUGGCCAUGGGGGUUGGAAAGCCCCAUGGUUGAGAUAACAUUAGACUCUUAACGACGAGGCCAUCAGGAAUAUAAAAGAUUUUAGAGUGAACAAAGAAGGGUGAUUCAGGAGACUCCACGCAGUCUCUGGUUGCUUGUUCUCCAGCUGGUUCUCUUGUUCUCCAGCCGUUAAGGCAUGGAUGUUUCUGGGUGUUUGCUGUUGUUGUUACAUUCAAAGUUGUUUGACCAAUGAAAAGUUGUUUUGAAAAGAACUGCUGUGGAGAGAAGGGUAUAAGAGGGGAGCCUGCCCUUAAGAUAAAAAAGGCAACACGAUGAAGUUGCAUCAAUAAAGAAGCAGGAAAAAGAAGUGAAGAGGAACAGGCUAGCAGAACGGAGACCAGGACGGGAACAGGCACUUUGAUUGCCUCAUGAAGACAGGUUCGGCCAGACUCAGCAAACUGCUCAGAGAAGCUCGUACAGAAAGUUGCUGGGAAUAGGCGCACUGGAGCUGGAGAGAAGCUUGAGCUGAGAGAAGCGAAUCCGCGCACACAACUGCCUCUCGCUGCUACCUUCAUGCCAUUUGGAUCAUAGGUAGUAAGGAGAGACAUCACAGCAUGACGACUUCAGUCUUCUACCCAGCUGCUGGAAAAUACAGAGACAGAGAGAAUGGGCAGCAAACUGACCUGCUCCUGAGAUGUGGAAUGGAAUAG
This 932-nucleotide long non-coding RNA is filed under the name Anas platyrhynchos platyrhynchos (common mallard). Its description in RNAcentral is "lncRNA (ENSAPLG00000019470.1)". Lineage: Eukaryota; Metazoa; Chordata; Aves; Anseriformes; Anatidae. The record is from RNAcentral.